UAGGGAAUCUUCGGCAAUGGACGAAAGUCUGACCGAGCAACGCCGCGUGAGUGAAGAAGGUUUUCGGAUCGUAAAACUCUGUUGUUAGAGAAGAACAAGGGUGAGAGUAACUGUUCACCCCUUGACGGUAUCUAACCAGAAAGCCACGGCUAACUACGUGC
RNAcentral lists this ribosomal RNA (161 nucleotides) under uncultured bacterium. RNAcentral's name for it is "partial 16S rRNA". It matches the Rfam family "Bacterial small subunit ribosomal RNA", at positions 355 to 508 of the family's 1533-position model. The record is from RNAcentral.